GGGGGCGUAGCUCAGGGGUGGGGCAUGUGCUUAGCAUGCACGAGGCCCUGGGCUCGAUCCCCAGCAUCUCUG
Molecule: transfer RNA, 72 nt
Filed under: Camelus ferus (Wild Bactrian camel)
Lineage: Eukaryota; Metazoa; Chordata; Mammalia; Artiodactyla; Camelidae
Rfam family: tRNA
About the family: Transfer RNA (tRNA) molecules are approximately 80 nucleotides in length. Their secondary structure includes four short double-helical elements and three loops (D, anti-codon, and T loops).
Source: Rfam by way of RNAcentral